Non-coding RNA from Marmota flaviventris (yellow-bellied marmot), 1126 nucleotides. NCBI's taxonomy places the organism in Eukaryota, Metazoa, Chordata, Mammalia, Rodentia, Sciuridae. The record is from RefSeq and is a predicted model, not a curated record.
UCAGUCCUGAAAAAGAGAAAGAAAAGAGGGAAGGGGAAGAAAAAAACAUAGUGACCCUUUAUCAGAUCUUGAAACUUGGCCAAAUGGUGCUUACCAACUUCUACAGGUUGAAAAUGAACAGGAAUUUCUCAAACAAAACUGAUUAAAUAGGACCACCCUCCUGGGCGUGGUGGAGAUGAAAUAUAAGCGUAUAACUUAGCUAUUGUAGCUCAGCCAACUGCAGCUAUUGUAAACACCCCAUGUCAGUAUUAUAAGGGCUGGAAAACAGGCUGGUUUUUUUUGUUUGUUUGUUUUGUUUUUCCAGAGCUAGGGACAAAACCCAGGGCCCAUGCAGGCUAGGCUACCAUUGAGCCAUACCCCAGCACUUUUCAUUUUCUCUUUUGGGACAUGGACUCACUAAGUUGCCCAGGCUUGGCCUCAAUCCUGAAUCCUCCUGCCUCCUCAGUCUUCUGAGUUGCUGCGAUGACAGGCGUGGACACUGCGCCUAGCAGUGGGAGAUGAUUGUAGUGUAGUAGUUGUCAGUUCCUCAGAAGUUGAGAGAAUUCAGCCCCAGGAACAUCACAGGCAUGAAGACAAGUGUCCUCGACCCGUGGGCUGCCGUUACCCAGCCUCUGGCUCAGCAGAGAGAACAGAGUGUUGGCAGGGCUCAGGCACACAGCUGCCACUGCGCGCUCCCAGCACAGGACUUUGUGGGACGUUCACUCAGAGCAGAGAAUGUGCCCCUGUCUCCUGGGAAGAGUGGGCAGAACAAACCCCAGCAUUCUUCCUCACGCCCUGUGCCAAGAGCCACAGCACACACAGUGUCCACUCCAACCACUGGCAAGGGAAGGCCUGUGACUGCAACAACCAGAACCCCCACCCUGGGACAGAGUUGGGGGCCCAGUUCCUCUAAAGCAGCAUCUCCAGAAAGCCAGGACUGAAUGCAUCUUCACAGCACAGUACGAAUGGCAUCUUGAAUAGAGUCUUGUUUCUGUUGUGUUUUUGUUUAUCGCAAAUAUAGAGAAAUGCUAUAUUGACUCAGAAUCACUUUCAAAAAUCAAAAGAAACAGCCAAGCAUGGUGCACACGCCUGUAAUUCCCUGCCCCUCCCCCCCAAAAAAUCAAUAGAAGCACUUUGUUUGUCUUGA